This 830-nucleotide ribosomal RNA is filed under the name Staphylococcus sp. E05_37. RNAcentral's name for it is "bacterial SSU rRNA". It matches the Rfam family "Bacterial small subunit ribosomal RNA", at positions 73 to 887 of the family's 1533-position model. The record is from RNAcentral. Lineage: Bacteria; Bacillati; Bacillota; Bacilli; Caryophanales; Staphylococcaceae.
GAGGAGCUUGCUCCUUUGACGUUAGCGGCGGACGGGUGAGUAACACGUGGGUAACCUACCUAUAAGACUGGGAUAACUUCGGGAAACCGGAGCUAAUACCGGAUAAUAUUUCGAACCGCAUGGUUCGAUAGUGAAAGAUGGCUUUGCUAUCACUUAUAGAUGGACCUGCGCCGUAUUAGCUAGUUGGUAAGGUAACGGCUUACCAAGGCAACGAUACGUAGCCGACCUGAGAGGGUGAUCGGCCACACUGGAACUGAGACACGGUCCAGACUAAUACGGGAGGCAGCAGUAGGGAAUCUUCCGCAAUGGGCGAAAGCCUGACGGAGCAACGCCGCGUGAGUGAUGAAGGUCUUCGGAUCGUAAAACUCUGUUAUUAGGGAAGAACAAACGUGUAAGUAACUGUGCACGUCUUGACGGUACCUAAUCAGAAAGCCACGGCUAACUACGUGCCAGCAGCCGCGGUAAUACGUAGGUGGCAAGCGUUAUCCGGAAUUAUUGGGCGUAAAGCGCGCGUAGGCGGUUUUUUAAGUCUGAUGUGAAAGCCCACGGCUCAACCGUGGAGGGUCAUUGGAAACUGGAAAACUUGAGUGCAGAAGAGGAAAGUGGAAUUCCAUGUGUAGCGGUGAAAUGCGCAGAGAUAUGGAGGAACACCAGUGGCGAAGGCGACUUUCUGGUCUGUAACUGACGCUGAUGUGCGAAAGCGUGGGGAUCAAACAGGAUUAGAUACCCUGGUAGUCCACGCCGUAAACGAUGAGUGCUAAGUGUUAGGGGGUUUCCGCCCCUUAGUGCUGCAGCUAACGCAUUAAGCACUCCGCCUGGGGAGUACGACC